AAACAGAAGCAAAACAAAGUCUUGCUUGAAGUUUUUGGACAAAGUCUUCUUAACCUAGAUGCAAUGUUACUAGCCUAUAUAGAGGUAGGAGUACACAGUAAAAUGGAGAGAUUGAGUCACGAGCCUCCUCUAGGUGAUGGACCGACCAUGAAUGGCUAAGAGGGUCAUUCCAUCUCCCUCUAUUACACCCUACAACAAUCGCCUGCCAAUAAAGGAUAAAAAACCAAGCACAAGGAAAAUCGUAGAAAACCUGUUUCAGCGCUUUCCAACGGACACUUGGAGAUUAAUUCACCUUUCAGCAGGACAAUAACCUAAAACACAAGGCCAAAUCUACACUGGAGUUGCUUCCCAAGAAGACAGUGAAUGUUCCUGAGUGGCCGAGUUACAGUUUUGACUUAAAUCUACAUGAAACUCUAUGGCAAGACCUGAAAAUGGUUGUCUAGCAAUGAUCAACAACCAAUUUGACAGAGCUUGAAGAAUUUUGAAAAUAAUAAAAAGGGCAAAUGUUGCACAAUCCAGGUGUGCAAAGCUCUUAGAGACUCACAGCUGUAAUCAAUGCAAAAGGUGCUUCUACAAAGUAUUUACUCAGGGGUGUGGAUAGUUAUUUAAAUGAGAUACUUAUGCAUUUUAUUUUCAAUAAUUUACCAAACAUUUCCAAAAACAUGUUUUCACUUUGUCAUUAUGGGGUAUUGCAUGUAGAUUGGUGGGGGAAAAAAACAUUUAAUCCAUUUUGAAUUCAGGCUGUAACACAAAAUGUGGAAUAAGUGAAGGGGUAUGAAUACUAUCUGAAGGCACCAUACUUUUACUCAUACUCAGAAUGUUACUUGGUGAUAUGGUGCAGCUAGUGAUAAACAACAUUUAGAGACAGAAGACAAUUUACAUACAUCCAAAAGUAAUUUGAACAGUAAACACACAAGCUGCGACCAAACACUAUGGCUGCCUCACCGGGUGCAAAACAGCUCUUUAUGGCGUUCCCACAUUAGAUUACGUUUUCCAUAACCUAAAAGAAGUUGAUUGAAAGCAUGUUGGAGCUAUUAUUUUUCCAUCAUGCGGCACCUUCUUGGGAUCAAGAAAUAGGACAGCAUAUAUAUUGAUUGGGUGCCAUUUUUAUUGCAGCAGUAGUUUUAGAGGGGAAUCUUUUCUGAAAUUCAAGAUCAAAGACAGAAGGAACAUUUUUGUGCUUGCCAGUGAAGACAUUUACAGUCAACGACAAGGCACGUUAACCUGUAGUCAUAAGAUUCAUUUUAAAGCAGCAAUCAGCAAUUGAAACAAUAACAAAGCAUGUCUCGUAGCUAUUUCUGUAAAAAAGCUGAGGGAUGGGGCUGCAGAAAUGUAACUGCUCAAAUUCAAAGACAAAGCUAUGGAUGCAAGGACUGACCUUCCAUGAUAUCAAAAUUAGGCUAUAUAAUGUUUGUUUACAUUUACUUUGUUUACAAACAUGAGUAAAACAAGCUUAUAUUUUGGGUUCUGAUGGGGUACGACAGUUGAACUAAGCCCAUGAGGCAUUUAUAAGUUCUAUUCUUCAAGAAUCAAUGGGUUCAUAUUAUUAAUGUCUAAGUCUAAAAAUGUUUGUGGCAACUGCAAUUUGCCCCUUUAAGUCAGUAAUUUGCAUUUGGUCUUCUCCACCAUUUAGUGGAGUUAUGACGAUAACUUUUAAUAUGGCACAACGUCAGCCAUAAAUCUCAACCAUUUCUUGAAUCAGACUAGUGAAACUGCCAAAUGCAAAAAUGAAAAGUACAUGACAUCUGUGGUUUUGACUCUGAAUUCCAAAAAUCCAUAAGGAUAUUUUACACUGACUGGUGUAUUGCUCAGUAACCUCUGAAUGAGCAUUAAGAUAAUCAUAUGAUUGGAUAUAAGAUGGUUGACAGCUUAUUUAAAUAUGUAUUCUUAUGCAAACUACAAAAAUAAAAACCAAACCAUAUUUUUCA
This is a long non-coding RNA of Oncorhynchus nerka (sockeye salmon), 1928 nucleotides long. RefSeq lists it as uncharacterized. NCBI's taxonomy places the organism in Eukaryota, Metazoa, Chordata, Actinopteri, Salmoniformes, Salmonidae. The record is from RefSeq and is a predicted model, not a curated record. The transcript has 2 exons.